UACGUAGGGCGCAAGCGUGUCCGGAAUUAUUGGGCGUAAAGAGCUCGUAGGCGGUUUGUUGCGUCGGCUGUGAAAUCCCGAGGCUCAACCUCGGGUCUGCAGUCGAUACGAGCAAACUAGAGUGUUGCAGGGGAGACUGGAAUUCCUGGUGUAGCGGUGAAAUGCGGCAGAUAUCAGGGAGGGAACACCCGGUGGGCGAAGGCGGGUCUCUGGGCAACACUGACGCUGGAGGAGCGAAAGCGUGGGGA
Molecule: ribosomal RNA, 248 nt
Filed under: uncultured bacterium
Lineage: Bacteria
Description: partial 16S ribosomal RNA
Rfam family: Bacterial small subunit ribosomal RNA
Source: RNAcentral